UAAGGGCGCACGGUGGAUGCCUUGGCACUAGAAGCCGAUGAAGGACGUUACUAACGACGAUAUGCUUUGGGGAGCUGUAAGUAAGCUUUGAUCCAGAGAUUUCCGAAUGGGGAAACCCAGCAUGAGUUAUGUCAUGUUAUCGAUAUGUGAAUACAUAGCAUAUCAGAAGGCACACCCGGAGAACUGAAACAUCUUAGUACCCGGAGGAAGAGAAAGAAAAUUCGAUUCCCU
Molecule: ribosomal RNA, 231 nt
Filed under: Staphylococcus aureus
Lineage: Bacteria; Bacillati; Bacillota; Bacilli; Caryophanales; Staphylococcaceae
Description: partial 23S ribosomal RNA
Rfam family: Bacterial large subunit ribosomal RNA
Source: RNAcentral